AGCUCCAAUAGCGUAUAUUAAAGUUGUUGCAGUUAAAACGCUCGUAGUUGAACAUCUGCCGUCUGGGAGUUAGGUCCGCUUCGUGCGUGCACCUGACACUAGUAGCAUCCGUUUGCCGGUCAACGCUUCUGCGUUCCGCAAACCGUUCACUUUGAGGAAAUUAGAGUGUUCAUAGCAGGCUUUAGCCUUGAAUACUUCAGCAUGGAAUGAUCGAUAGGACUUCCGUCCUAUCCGUUGGUUCUAGGGGCGAGAAGUAAUGAUAAAUAGGGUCGGUUGGGGGCAUUCGUACUGAACAGUCAGAGGUGAAAUUCUUAGAUUUGUACAAGACGAGCUACUGCGAAAGCAUUUGCCAAGGACGACCCCAUUA
Molecule: ribosomal RNA, 367 nt
Filed under: Polyplicarium sp.
Lineage: Eukaryota; Apicomplexa; Conoidasida; Eugregarinorida
Description: partial small subunit ribosomal RNA
Rfam family: Eukaryotic small subunit ribosomal RNA
Source: RNAcentral